AAGAAAGUGGCAGAGAGGUUACGCGGCUGACUUGAAAUCAGUUUAUGGGGGUUCGAUUCCUCCCUUUCUGG
Molecule: transfer RNA, 71 nt
Filed under: Psettina iijimae
Lineage: Eukaryota; Metazoa; Chordata; Actinopteri; Pleuronectiformes; Bothidae
Description: tRNA-Ser
Rfam family: tRNA
About the family: Transfer RNA (tRNA) molecules are approximately 80 nucleotides in length. Their secondary structure includes four short double-helical elements and three loops (D, anti-codon, and T loops).
Source: RNAcentral